AUUUGAAUAAGCUGGCACCUUGACGGUACCUAACCAGAAAGCCACGGCUAACUACGUGCCAGCAGCCGCGGUAAUACGUAGGUGGCAAGCGUUAUCCGGAAUUAUUGGGCGUAAAGCGCGCGCAGGUGGUUUCUUAAGUCUGAUGUGAAAGCCCACGGCUCAACCGUGGAGGGUCAUUGGAAACUGGGAGACUUGAGUGCAGAAGAGGAAAGUGGAAUUCCAUGUGUAGCGGUGAAAUGCGUAGAGAUAUGGAGGAACACCAGUGGCGAAGGCGACUUUCUGGUCUGUAACUGACACUGAGGCGCGAAAGCGUGGGGAGCAAACAGGAUUAGAUACCCUGGUAGUCCACGCCGUAAACGAUGAGUGCUAAGUGUUAGAGGGUUUCCGCCCUUUAGUGCUGAAGUUAACGCAUUAAGCACUCCGCCUGGGGAGUACGGCCGCAGGGCUGAAACUCAAAGGAAUUGACGGGGGCCCGCACAAGCGGUGGAGCUUGUGGUUUAUUUCGAAGCCACGCGAAAAAACCUUACCAGGUCUUGGCCUCCUCUGACACCCCUAAGAAAUGGGCUUCUCCUUCGGGAACAAAAGAAAGGGGGGGCCUGGUUGUCCUCCCUCCCGGCCGGGGAAUGUUGGUUUACCUCCCCCCCCCACCCCCCCCCUUUUUUUUUUUUGCCCUAUUUUUGUUGGGCUCUAAAGGGGACCGGCGGGGCCCAACCGGAGGAGGGGGGGAGGGG
This 731-nucleotide ribosomal RNA is filed under the name Bacillus cereus. Its description in RNAcentral is "partial 16S ribosomal RNA". It matches the Rfam family "Bacterial small subunit ribosomal RNA", at positions 451 to 1183 of the family's 1533-position model. The record is from RNAcentral. Lineage: Bacteria; Bacillati; Bacillota; Bacilli; Caryophanales; Bacillaceae.